This 497-nucleotide ribosomal RNA is filed under the name uncultured bacterium. RNAcentral describes it as "partial 16S ribosomal RNA". It matches the Rfam family "Bacterial small subunit ribosomal RNA", at positions 28 to 507 of the family's 1533-position model. The record is from RNAcentral.
GAUGAACGCUGGCGGCGUGCCUAAUACAUGCAAGUCGAGCGAACGGACGAGAAGCUUGCUUCUCUGAUGUUAGCGGCGGACGGGUGAGUAACACGUGGAUAACCUACCUAUAAGACUGGGAUAACUUCGGGAAACCGGAGCUAAUACCGGAUAAUCUUCUGAACCGCAUGGUUCAAAAGUGAAAGACGGUCUUGCUGUCACUUAUAGAUGGAUCCGCGCUGCAUUAGCUAGUUGGUAAGGUAACGGCUUACCAAGGCAACGAUGCAUAGCCGACCUGAGAGAGUGAUCGGCCACACUGGAACGGAGACACGGUCAAGACUCCUACGGGAGGCAGCAGUAGGGAAUCUUACGCAAUGGGCGAAAGCCUGACGGAGCAACGCCGCGUGAGUGAUGACGGUCUUCGGAUCGUAAAACUCUGUUAUUAGGGAAAAACAUAUGUGUAAGUAACUGUGCACAUCUUGACGGUACCUAAUCAGAAAGCCACGGCUAACUACGUG